GGCAGCCUUAGGAAAUGUGGCUUGGGAGGAAGGCUAGAGAUAGAGGUUUGUGUACACCCACUAAAGGGGCUUGUGACAGUGUGACUACUUUGAUUACUGGGGCCAAGGAACCAUGGUCACCGUCUCCUCAGAGAGUAAAUCCUCCCCAACUCUCUUCCCCCUCAUCUCCUGCGAGAGCCCCCUGUCUGAUGAGAAUUUGGUGGCCAUGGGCUGUCUGGCACGAGACUUCCUGCCCAGCUCCAUUUCCUUCUCCUGGAACUACCAGAACAACUCUGAAAUCAACCAGGGUGUCAGAACUUACCCAACUAUGAGGACAGGAGAAAAGUAUAUAGCCACCUCGCAGGUCUUCCUGUCUCCUAAGAAUGUCCUUGAGGGUUCAGAUGAAUACCUGGUCUGCAAAGCCCACCAUGGUGACAGAAACAAUGAUCUACGUGUGCCCAUUCCAGUUGUCAAAGAGAUAAACCCCAAUGUCAGUGUGUUCAUUCCACCACGUGAUGCCUUCUAUGGCCCUGCACCGCGCAAGUCCAGACUUAUCUGCGAGGCCUCCAACUUCAGUCCCAAACAGAUCACAGUGUCCUGGCUACAUGAUGGGAAGCCUGUGAAGUCUGGCUUCACCACAGAGCCAGUGACGACUGAAGACAGAGGAUCUGGACCCCGAACCUUCAAGGUUAGAAGCACAUUAACCAUCACUGAAAGCGACUGGCUGAACCUGAAUGUGUACUCGUGCCGUGUAGAUCACAGGGGUCUCACCUUCUGGAAAAAUGUGUCUUCCACAUGUGCUACCAGUCCAUCCACAGACAUCCUAGCCUUCCCCAUUCCCCCCUCCUUUGUUGACAUCUUCCUCAACAAGUCUGCCAAGCUGACCUGCCUAGUCACGAACCUAGCAACCUAUGACACCCUGAAUAUCUCCUGGACUUCCCAAAAUGGGGAGCCACUGGAAACCAAGAUCACACUCACUGAAAGCCACCCCAAUGGCACCUUCAGUGCCAUGGGUGUGGCUAAUGUUUGUGUCGAAGACUGGGAUAGCAAGAAGGAGUUUGUGUGCACCGUGACUCACAGGGACCUGCCUUCACCACAGAAGAAAUUUAUCUCAAAGCCCAGAGAGGUGGUCAAGCACCCACCUGCUGUGUACCUGCUGCCACCAGCCCGCGAGCAACUGAUCCUGAGAGAGUCAGCCACAGUCACCUGCCUAGUGAAAGGCUUCUCUCCUGCAGACAUCUUUGUGCAGUGGCUUCAGAGGGGUCAACCCUUGUCCUCAGACAAGUAUGUGACCAGUGCCCCAAUGCCAGAACCCCAGGCCCCAGACCGUUACUUCACCCACAGCAUCCUGACCGUGACAGAGGAGGAAUGGAACUCCGGGGAGACCUACACCUGUGUUGUAGGCCACGAGGCCCUGCCACACAUGGUGACCGAGAGGACCGUGGACAAGUCCACUGAGGGGGAGGUGAAUGCUGAGGAGGAAGGCUUUGAGAACCUAUGGACCACGGCCUCCACCUUCAUCGUCCUCUUUCUCCUGAGUCUCUUCUACAGCACCACUGUCACGCUGUUCAAGGUGAAGUGACUCACAGCGCAGAAGGACAUCAGAGACCAAGAAACCCUCCCACAAGGGCAUUACCUCUGGGCCUGGGGUGGGCCUGCCUGUAGGACUAGUAAACUUAUUCCUUUCUUUCUUGUAUCACCCUCCGGCUUGGAGCUCUGAGUUGGACUUCUGGGUCAAGGACUUUGUCAACCUGUGUACCCUGAAGCAGGGUCUGGACCACAUACGGCUGUACUGACUACAAGUGUUGUUGGAAAUAAAUAAAUACCUUAUCUUGUGAACUCA
This is a non-coding RNA of Myodes glareolus (Bank vole), 1822 nucleotides long. Lineage: Eukaryota; Metazoa; Chordata; Mammalia; Rodentia; Cricetidae. The record is from the annotation of a RefSeq genome assembly.